This is a long non-coding RNA of Papaver somniferum (opium poppy), 241 nucleotides long. RefSeq lists it as uncharacterized. The record is from RefSeq and is a predicted model, not a curated record. The transcript has 3 exons. Lineage: Eukaryota; Viridiplantae; Streptophyta; Magnoliopsida; Ranunculales; Papaveraceae.
CAUGCUUCUCCUACUCUUUUCAAUGCAAGGACACCAAGGCCUCAAUUGAGUAGAGGCUUCCAUGUGUGCAUGAUAGAGGACAAUAUUGAAGGAAUAUACGACACUUUGAAGGAGUGUGCUGUUAUUAGUAAAUCUGCUGGAGGAAUUGGAGUUUCUGUACACAACAUCGAUGCCACUAGUCUUAGCUUUGAAGGAUCUUUCUCUGGAUGGAACACUGGCUCCUGAAAUUUGUAAUCUUUUG